GACGAACGCUGGCGGCGUGCCUAAUACAUGCAAGUAGAACGCUGAAGGAGGAGCUUGCUUCUCUGGAUGAGUUGCGAACGGGUGAGUAACGCGUAGGUAACCUGCCUGGUAGCGGGGGAUAACUAUUGGAAACGAUAGCUAAUACCGCAUAAGAGUAGAUGUUGCAUGACAUUUGCUUAAAAGGUGCAAUUGCAUCACUACCAGAUGGACCUGCGUUGUAUUAGCUAGUUGGUGGGGUAACGGCUCACCAAGGCGACGAUACAUAGCCGACCUGAGAGGGUGAUCGGCCACGCUGGGACUGAGACACGGCCCAGACUCUUACGGGAGGCAGCAGUAGGGAAUCUUCGGCAAUGGACGGAAGUCUGACCGAGCAACGCCGCGUGAGUGAAGAAGGUUUUCGGAUCGUAAAGCUCUGUUGUAAGAGAAGAACGAGUGUGAGAGUGGAAAGUUCACACUGUGACGGUAUCUUACCAGAAAGGGACGGCUAACUACGUG
Molecule: ribosomal RNA, 495 nt
Filed under: uncultured bacterium
Lineage: Bacteria
Description: partial 16S ribosomal RNA
Rfam family: Bacterial small subunit ribosomal RNA
Source: RNAcentral